Molecule: long non-coding RNA, 10159 nt
Filed under: Pan troglodytes (chimpanzee)
Lineage: Eukaryota; Metazoa; Chordata; Mammalia; Primates; Hominidae
Description: long non-coding RNA NONPTRT014081
Source: RNAcentral
AAUUAGCCGGACGUGGUGGUACGUGCCUGUAGUCCCAGCUACUUGGGAGGCUGAGGCAGGAGAAUGGCAUGAACCCAGGAGGCAGAGCUUGCAGUGAGCUGAGAUCAUGCCACUGCACUCCAGCCUGGGUGACAGAGUGAGACUCUGUCUCAAAAAACAAAAACAAAAAUUAAAAAAAAUUAAUUCCCCCCCCCAAAAUUUUUUUGAAUCCCUGAAACAAAUAAACGUGUUUAUCAAGUAGAUAGCACAUCAGUGAGUGUAUUCAUUAUUUAUCCUUUUUUAAAAUUUUAAAAAAUGUUUGUCUUACUCUUCUUACUAUCAUUCCCAAUUCAGUGAGUAUAUUCCAAGGACAAAAAGAAAGGAAUACAAAGAAAUCCUCAACUACAUUUAAUAAUUUUCUUAGCAGUAAUAUUGGCAUUUUUAUUUUACACACAUAUUUAAAAUAAAUAUAUUAAUAUUCUCAGGAACCAAAGCUUAUAGCAUAAAAGAAAUUAAAUAAAAACCUACAAUAUUAAAUUUGAAUUGGAAAUGUCAUUAUGAACUAAUGACAUAUUUUUUUUGAAAAAAAAAAAAAAAAGCAUAUUUCCUACUUCGGUCCACUGGAAAGACCUAACAGCAAUGACAGUCCAGUAGCAAUUAACAUCUCAUCUCAGACUAUGAACUUUUUACCAUUUUCUAUUCUAAGGAGCCAGGGCUCCUUAGAGAAAUAGCUGAUGUCAAGUCUCGGGCAGGAAAUGUACAAGGAGAGUCUAGGACAUCUUUUUACACCAGAGAGCAAAGAAACCAAGAAGAUUAUGUCAAAAGGAUAUAGGAGCCAACUGGAAGGGGCUCCCGCUGGCCAAAGAUGGGUCAAGUUUGAGCAUCAAAAAUAGAAAUACUAACCAAAACAAUGGAUUGAAACAUUCAAAUAUAUAAAUAUGAGUUCAUUAUAUUAAAACAUAUUAAUUGGUCAUGUGUGAUCUCUGGACCAGAAGCAUCAGAAUCACCUAGUAACUUGUUAGAUGUGCACAUCAGGGGCCCUAUCCUCAGUUAUUGAAUCACAAGGUAGAGCCCAUCAAUCUGUGUUUUAAUAAGUUUCCAGGUGAUUCUAAAGCAUACUGAAGUUUGAGAACCACUGCUCUGGAUAUAAUUGCCAGUUUACAUGAAAUACAAGGGUAAAGAAACAUGUUAGAUGAUACCACCAAGGCUGUAAUUAGCCAGAAUCACGUGGGCAAGGCUACAGAAUUAAUGACCUUUACUAAUAAAUCAGUAGGAUUGGGGUGGAUUGUGUAUUUUUAGCUGCUGGCCUUCUCAAACUAAGUGGAUAUAGGAGCUUGAGGGUCUCACCAUUUGGAAUGCAGAUUUUUACUUAGCCAUCUUCCACUAUCCCCAUUUACAGUGUGGCACUUCAACCUAGCCCUCUUCUUGGUCCCUACAUCUAAGCCUGUCUUUAUAUAUAUAUAUAUCUAGGGUGGAUUGCUUUUUUUCUCACCAGUAUCCCUGUUUGCAAACAUUUAGGAUUGUUCCUUUUCUACUCUGCUGAAUUAUUUGUUGUUCUAUUUAUUUCCAUCUUUUUAUGUUGUCAUUUGCUAUUUUAGAUGACACUCUGUUUAUCAAAAAGGGCUUUGAGUUUUUCUAAUCUUGGUAUCUCUUUUACUUAAGGGGUAAGCUAGUGUGAUCUGUGGAAGACUUAUUUGGGAAGUGUUUCCUCUCUCUCCAGUACAGUCUGCAUCUGCCUCCAUAACCUCCUUCAAACUUCUCUCUCAAGGUCACCAAAUACCUCUUUAAUGCUAAGUCCGUUGAAUAUGUCUCAAUUCUAACCCCACCUGCAUUUCAUAGAGUGAACUGCCUCCCGUAUUGAAUUUCCUUCCCCUUGUGGCUUCUUAGUUUUGUGUUCCCUUCAAACCAGGAUCUGAGACAAGGAUUUGGAUACAAGUAACUUAUUUGCAAGGCCACUUCUAAAAGCAUUAGAGUUGAACAGUAAGAAAGGGAAAAAAAGAAAGUCACUAAAAGGUGCCUUAAUAAGUUGGUUAAAUGCUGUGGGCAAACGAGCUCAGUUUUGCCAGCAGCCCUCUGAGAGACUGCGGAACACAUCACAGAGUUGUUCCAUUGAAGAGCAAGGAAGCUGGGGUAUUUAUCCACCAAUUUCUCACUAAGGCUCACUCCUGGGGAGUGUUAAUAACUCCCUGGUAUUUUCAUCCUGCCCAUUAUAUAAGGUGAAUAUGGUCCUCAGACCAAGAACUGCAGAAGUUUGAAGUAAGAAACAAGCUUCAUCUAAAUAAGCUGUUUAGAAAGCUACAGAGUAAGCUGAGAGAAUAUGGAUGAGGCAUCAAUAUUUACUACUUUUACCAAUGCCAUUUUUAUUAUCCCCUCACUUUCUAGACCAUUCUUUCUCAACACGUUGUUGGUUCCUGUUUUUCCCUUACCUCUUAAAUUUUGGUGGUCCACAUGAAGUAUCUGUUCUUGACCUUUGGCUCUUCUUCUCUACCAUUUCUCUGGACAAUCUCAUCCUUGUCUUGGCUUCAGCCACUACAUAUACUUCCAGAUUUCCAGCACUGGCCUCUCUCUUGAGCUAGACCCAUGGAGUCAUUUAUUCAUUCAACAAAUUAUUUUUCAACACUUACAUAAUAUGCUAAACUUGAUGCUGGGAAUGUUAACAGUGAACUAUACAUAUUCCUGGCCCUUGGAGUUUAUAUUCUAGUCAAGCCAUAUAAACAAAUACAUAAAUAAUAAAGAUUAUGAAAUACGAUAAGUGCUACAAAGUAAACUGGGUGUUGUUCUUAUGUCUGGUUGGAAAAAUCACUUUACAUAGAUUAGCCAGGGAAGUUCUCUUUAAGUUAUUGGUCUUCCCUGAAGUAUAAGAUUUAGCUAGCCAUGUGAAGAACUGAAAGAAAAAGACUUUCCGGCAGAGAGCUAAAAGAGGCCAAGUGAAAUGCAGUGUGUUUAAAGAACAAAGAAGCUAGUGAGGUUGAAGUAUAAUAAAGCAGAAAAUGACAUGAAAUGAGAUUGGAGAGGUCGGCAGCAAUUGGGUCAUUUGGAGCCUUGUUGUGUUCUUCAGAAGCAGACAUUGAGAUAAAAGGUAUUUAUUAGGCAUCCUUAUGAAAGGAAGAGGAAGAAAAUAGGAAUGGACAGAGGACAAAGUCGAAAUGUGAUGUAGGCCCAACAAAGCUUCAGCCAAUUUAGUAGGAAGCUCUGGAGCAAGUAUUGCCCAUCAGAGUCUUUGUACAUCUGGUUGAAAUGGCUGGGCCUUUAUGGCCCUGCCUGCCUGCCUUAUUCAGUUACUGGAUGUGGGCUGCUCUGGAAAACCAUUAGAAAGGUGGCUACAAGCUGUGGCACAUGCUAAAAUUGUUGACAGCUGCAGACUGUAUGCUCACAGCAUUCACUGCAGCUGGGAAGCAAGUCCUUCCUUGAAGAAGGGCUUAUCCAAAUAUCUCCAUAUUUGCCACAGGCAAGUUUGGAUUUUGUUGCAAGGACCCAUUUAAAGGGUUGUUAGUGAGAAGUGGCAUGAAAGGUCACUCUGAUUUCUAUGUGGACAUUAGAUCAUAGAGGACCAAGGAGACUUAUUAGGAGGCAAUAAUAGUCCAAGCAAGAAAUGCUAUUGGCCAUAGAGAUAAAGAGAAAUGCACAAUUCAAGAUAAAUUUUGAAGGAACAAUUGAUAAAAUUUAGUGCUAGGUAAAUGUUGGAGGUAAAGAAAAAUAGGAAUCAUUUUAGUAAAUGUAUACAGUUGCGUAAGGGAAGGUGAUUUAGCUGCUGCUGGCUAAAGUGCUUCUUCCCACCAUGAGGACAUCCCAGUAACAGCCUCCUCCCCCCCAGAUUGAGACAGGGUCUCACUCUGUUGCCCAGGCUGGAGUGCAGUGGUGUGAUCUUGGCUCACUGCAGCUUUGACCUCCUGGGCUCAAGUGAUCCUCCCACUUCAGCCUCCCGAGUAGCUGGGACCACAGCUGCAUGCCACCAGGCCUGGCUAAUUUUUGUAUUUUUUUUUCUUUCUUUUUUUUUUUUUUUUUUUUUUUGUAGCAACAGGGUUUCACCAUGUUGUCCAGGCUGGUCAUGAACUCCUGGACUCAAGAAAUCCACCCACCUCAGCCUCCCAACGUGCUAGGAUUACAGGCGUGAGCCACCACGUACGGCUAGAAUCUUACUUUUAAGUUUUGUUAGGGUAGAUCUAGAGCAGUGCAGUCCAAUCCAAAUUUUUGCAAUGAUGGAAAUGUUUUAUAACUGUACUUUCCAAUAUAGUGGCCAUUAGUCAUAUUUGGCUAUGAAAUACUUGAAAUGUGGCUAGUAUAAUUCAGUAACUGAAUUUUUAUUUAAUUUAAAUGGUAUGUGGCUAGUGCCUACUGUAUUGUACAGCAUAGGUCUCCAAUAAGCUGUACUCUCAUGCCAGUUUAGUCCUACACCUAAGGAGUGACCCUUCCGGGAUCUUUACAAUGUCUCAGGUGUUCAACGAGCUCUCCCUGGCUGGUUAGAACUUGACUUUUUCCUAGUCCAGUGCAAGCUCCAGCAAUUUUCAGCCUAUAGUUCCCCAGUAUUCUUUAGUGAGAAGUUGUCCUUCCUGCUUUAUGGAGUUUCACCCCGCACAUGGACAGCUUAAUAUUCAGCUGAACACUCAAGUGGAUUACUAUGCAGAUUUCUAAAACUUACUCCACCCUCACUUGGAGCAACCAUACAGAACUCGCUUACUGUGGUGAUUAAACUACUCAUGGGGAAUUGCUGUGUGUUGUGAAAAUUACAAGAAUAUUUAUAAAUAUUGUUCUUUCCUGCACAUAUUUGCUUUGAGGGAGAAGUUUCAUUAGAUGGGCCCUUCUUCACAUCUAAAACUAAGUCUGUAACACUAAAACCACAAAAAACUUUUCCCCCUUUAAGUACAAACUAUUAUUUUAAAUGUUACUUUAAUAUCAGAGCUUACCUCUUUAAAGGACUAUACAAUCAAUAUUACUUGAAAUUCACUUGAGAAACAGAAAGGUGAUAUCAUACAUUUAGAUAUCCAGAUGUUGCCCUUUAAGUGACAUUUUUUAAAAGUUUUGAAAUUUUAAAAAUACUUGACAGAACUUUUUUUUUUGGUCAGUGUUGUCAGAUAUUAGUUACAUUAACAUUCUAAUUUCACAUUACAAAUAACAUAUUCUUAAAAAUUAGAUAAUACAGGUAAGCAAAAAGAACAUUAAAAAAUUUCACACAUUUAGAAAUGCAUUGUAAAAUCAGAAGGAAUGGACCAGGCGUGGUGGCUCAUGCCUGUAAUCCCAGCACUUUGGGAGGCUGAGGCGGGCAGAUCACCUGAGGUCAGGAGUUCGAGACCAGCCUGACCAACAUGGAGAAACCCCGUUUCUACUAAAAAUACAAAAUUAGCUGGGUGUGGUGGCACAUGCCUGUAAUCCCAGCUACUCGGGAGGCUGAGGCAGGAGAAUCACUUGAACCUGGAAGGUGGAGAUUGCGGUGAGCCGAGGUUGCGGUGAGCCGAGGUUGCGGUAAGCCGAGAUCACACCAUUGUACUCCAGCCUGGGCAACAAGAGCAAAACUCCGUCUCAAAAAAACAAAAAAAACAAAACAAACAACAACAACAACAAAACACAGAAGGAAUGAAUAAAGACCAAAGAUGUAAUGACUGUAUUGCAUUUAUUUUUAAGAUACGUAUCUUUUCAAAUAUUAAUAUCUCUGAAACUAUGUGUGGAAUUUGCCUUUCUUAAUGCUAUAGUGAUGCUUCUUAAAUGUGAUGAUCUUUUAUUCAAGGAAAUACAGUAACAAAGGAUUGAUUGUAAUUUUGGGUAUAGAUCCUCCUAGAUAGAAUUCUGAGGAACAGAACUGCAUUGUACAAUCUGUUUGCACAGAUUUGAGAAAGUAUUUCCAAUAGCAAAGAACCUCUCUGCAACAGUGUCUAGGGCAUGGCAAACCCUGAUUCCAUUCCUAUCCUCCUCCUUUCCUGCCAUACCACUCCAGAAGAGAAAGGGAAAUAUUAAUAGAUGAGGCUUGGUUCUGGUACUACAGAGGGUGACGUUAGUAUUCACACAUCUGAACGGCAAAGAAAAAAAAAAAAGGGUAGUCAGAGCACUUCUUUCUCACCAGUGGAAAAGUACAGUCACUGAGUUUUAGGGCAGAAAUCAGUGUUAAGCUUAGGAAAUCUUUCAUAGAAUGUCUCAGGCUUCUGUGUAAUAUUUCACAUUUGUUUGUUUCAUUUUUUGGGUAGUAAAUAUUUCUACUGUGGGGUGCUUCAUGUCUAUUAUAGCAUAAAAUCAGGACAGAACUGUUUAUGUAACAUUAGUAUGUAAUCAUACAGCUUUUUCAAACUUAUAUACAUACCUGUAUAUUAUUUAAAUGCAAAGUUAUGUAUGUAUAUAUUUAUAUGUAUAUAAUGUAUUUUAUUUUUAUUGGCUAUUUUUAUAAAAACUUUUUUUAACUAGAAAUUUAAUAAUUUCUUCCAUUUAUAUAUACAUGCAGGAAAUACUAAAGAAUGAAAAACACAGAGAAGAAAUCAAAAUAAAAAGCCAAGAUUUUUAUGAAAAAGAAAAACUCCUUAGUAAAGAGACCAGUGAGUUUUUGUACUUUUAAUAGAGACGGAGUUUCAUGACCCCAUUCGAGACCAUGUUGGCCAGGCUGGUCUCAAACUCCUGACCUCAGGUAAUCCAGCCGCCUCAGCCUCCCAAAGUGCUUGGAUUACAGGCAUGAGCCACCACGCCCUGCGGCAAAAUUUUUUUUUAAUUAGCUGGGCAUGAUGGUGUGUACCUGCAGUCCCAGCUACUUGGGAGGUUGAGGUGGGAGGAUCACUUGAGCCCAGGAUUUCAAGGCUGCAGUGAACUAUCAUCAGGCCACUGUACUCCAGCCUGGUGACAGAGCAUGACUCUGUCUCUUAAAAAAAAAAAAAAAAAAAAAAAGGAGAUACAAUUUGUGAUAUAGUUGGGACUGUGAAUUGAGAUUAAGAUGUUCUUAACUCCUAGACUGGAUUGUAGAGAAAACUGUAAAUGUUUUAACACACUAGUGUUUCUACUGCCAAAUUCCUGUUAUCUCAUUAAUUGCAUUCCAUAUACACCUUUUGCAAAUGUUUACCAUAUAGUCUGUGUUUCCCAAACUUUGGGUAUUUGACCAUGUGAUCCCUUUUAAUAUGUUUGAGAAAUGCAGAAUUUGUCCUUAAAUAUUUAUUCCAGAUAUGAAGUAAAGUAGCAUGAUUCUAUAACCAGUAGCAAAUAUAAAAGCAAUCAUUCCUAAAUAGGAUCAAAUUGCCUCCAACUUAGAACCAUAUAAAAUAUAAGGUCUAUUUCAACAUUAGGUUUCCAGCCCACAGCUUCCUGUGCUUUUUUUUUUUGAGACAGAGCCUCGCUCUGUCGCCAGGCUGGAGUGCAGUAGCAUGAUCUUGGCUCACUGCAACCUCUACCUCCUGGGUUCAAGCAAUUCUUCUGCCUCAGCCUCCCCAGUAACUGGGAUUACAGGUGCACGCCACCACACCCAGCUGAUUUUUGUAUUUUUAGUAGAGAUAGGGUUUCAUCAUGUUGGCCAGGGUGGUCUUGAACUCCUGACCUUGUGAUCUGCCCGCCUUGGCCUCCCAAAGUGAUGGGAUUACAGACAUGAGCCACCGCACCCGGCCUCCUGUGCUUAUUUCUAGUUUGCUUAUUAUAAACAAGUAAAAUUUAAAAUGUCCUUAUAUAUCUGAUAACUAGUAAUAUGCUGAAAGUUAUCAUGGAUACUAUGGCUCAAGUUCUGACAUACAAACUUUUAUUUAUUUGCUGAUUUUUGAUAAAAUGUUUGUUAGAGGCAGCCAGGGGACAGCUUUCUUUCUCCCCCAAGACCAGCUUUAGAAUGGUAAUUGAUUGUACUUAGUUCUCAGAACUUCAGAAACAAUGUAAUAAGUAAACAAUUUCUUAAAAGUAUUCUAGAUAAUAGCAAAUGGGAUUCUUUAACAACAGUACUCUGUUGCAGUGAGAGGUGAUUUUUCUGAAGAAUCCCAAACCUCACAAUAUUCUCUAUACUCCAGCCCCUUACACACACACACACACACACAUACACACACACAGUAAAGUAUGAAUCUCACAUAUAUAGAAAGGCUCUCUAAAUGAUGGAAAAAAGUGGGAAAAAAAAGCAUAUGUCAAACAAAUACAAAAUUGGCAUGUGUUAAGACUAAUAAAUUAUAGAAAAACAGACCUUUAAAUACCUUUAAGUUGUUACAACAGAAUUGAUGAAACCAUAACUUUAGUAGGUAACUGAGAAUUAUGACUAUAUCCUUUGCUUCAAUACUUUUACGCUAAAAUGUGACCCUAAGUAAAACAUGUACAUAAAUUCUUUCCAUGAACAGCUUGAUUGCAGAAAACCAAACAUAUUAUAGAUAUAUCUUAACACUGAAUAAUUUCAGUGCCUUGAGUUAUAAUGUGUUGCUCACACUGGCACCAAGUAGAGACUGAUAAUCUAAAAGAAUAGCAUUAAGUGUUAUUCAAACUGGUCCAUAAACAUUUCAGUGGUCCUUAGGUUCUGAGAGAUACAGUCCUGAAAUUUUACAAGUAUGCUUAGCUGUAACUGAAAUUCUAACUUGCAUAACAUAAUGUAACUUAAAAUGUUAGUUCCUCCAAAAAAAAAAAAAAAAAUCCAGGACCUCUUUAUAAAAAAUUAUCAAAUUUAUUUUAAUGUCUAGUUUCAUUUUUAACAUGACUGCUUUACCCAUUGCUUUAAAAUAAUAUUCACCCAGAACUAGUAUUUUUAAAGAUAAUUUAAGAUGUCCCCACCAGGCCAGUCUGGCAAGUACAGCUUCUUAAGACUAUAAGAGAUUAUGCCUCUAAUAUUUUUAUUGUUGAAGAGAUAAUACCCAGUAUGAUUUCUUUUCACUUAGACUUCCAAAUAUGGAAUAUUUUCUUGUUCUAAAUCAAAGUAUGAGAUGUCUUUUUUAAAAAUAAUGAAACCACCAUCACUGAUGGAGGGAUAGAUUGAUCGUUAGAUGUAACAUGAUAUGAGAAAGCCAGUGUAAUAUGUAAAACUUUGAUGGUAAAAUAUAGAUGAUGAGUAUGGAGAUGUUUACUAUAAAAUUCUUUCAACUUUGCUGUAUGCUUGAGUAAAUGAUAAAAGAGGCAUGCAUAGCGUGUUCUGGAAACACAGUGAAUGGAGGCUGGCUGGACUGGCUGUAAGUGCUGAGAAUGAGUUAGCUUAAGAAAAACAAGACUUGGGAAGAACUAUGAGUUAUGUGACUUCUGAUUUUCUAAUCUUUGUGUAGUAUUUUAUGGUUUUUUUUUUUUUUUUUUUGAGACACAGUCUCACUCUGUCGCCCAUUCCAGUUGUCAUUUGAAUCUGCCUUCUCAGCUACUAUCCUAGUCCUUGCCACCAGUUUCUCUGUGUCUUUACAACAGCUGAUCUCUCUGCCUCCAGCCUUCCCCUCCCCCAUCAAUUCUCUACACUCUUUGCUUUGACCCUUUCAAUGGCUCCUCUACCCUCAGGAUAAAUCCCAAGUUCCUUAACACGGUUACAAGACCCUUUAACAAUAUAUUGUUUAUAUGUUUCCACAUCAUUAAAGUUUCUUCUACAGUCUACUGCAUGAUUUAAAUGAUGGCUUGUUUUCCCAUCAUGUAUGUGGCCAACCUUUUAUGCUGCACAUUUUGGCUGUUCCCAGUUUCCCCUUUGUAGUAUUGACAGGCUUUUGGAGAAUAAUGAAACGCUGAAAUGUUUGGCUUGGUUUCCCUCUUGGGUAGAGUCUGCUGCUCAGUCUUUUCUUCUGCCUCUUUGUAUCCUUUAGCUUUUGGGUGGAGGCCCAGAGAGCUCCACAAGGGGUGAUGUGUGUUUAAGAAACUCAGCUAAAGAAACAAACUGAUUGCAAAGAACUCUGAACCUAGGGUGUUGGGGGAAAUGCUGAGCAUUGUAAUUGGCCUAAUGCUGCUCCCGUGAGAGAUGCCAUCUCCCUAGGCCUCCAAAGUUCUGGCAGGGAUUUUAACUCUUCUCAUCCAGCUGAUGACAGACAAAUAUUCAUCACUUCAACAGUUAGGUGCAACCCCCAAAAUGUUUCCUCAAGUCCUUCCUCACUGCAAAUGCCUACCAGCUCAUCUCUGAAGAUGGAAAAGCAAGCGCGGUGACAUCUGCAAAUCCGGACAGUGGGCUUUAGGAUUCAUCUGAAAAGAAAGGCUCUUGGACAGUGCUGGACCUUGCUCCCUGAGCCAGGCUGUGGGUCCAGUGGUGACUCAGGAAGGAAUGCCACUGACAAGCCACAGGCAUGCCAGAGAAUUA